RNAcentral lists this ribosomal RNA (469 nucleotides) under uncultured bacterium. RNAcentral's name for it is "SSU rRNA". It matches the Rfam family "Bacterial small subunit ribosomal RNA", at positions 26 to 518 of the family's 1533-position model. The record is from RNAcentral.
AGAAUCAACGCUGGCGGCGUGCCUAACACAUGCAAGUCGAACGAGAAAGUGGAGCAAUCCAUGAGUACAGUGGCGUACGGGUGAGUAACACGUGACUACCUACCCUCGAGUGGGGAAUAACCUCGGGAAACCGGGGCUAAUACCGCAUAACAUCUACGGAUCAAAUGCGUAAGCAGCUUGAGGAGGGGGUCGCGGCCGAUUAGCUAGUUGGUGAGGUAAUGGCCCACCAAGGCAAUGAUCGGUAGCCGGACUGAGAGGUUGGCCGGCCACACUGGAACUGAGACACGGUCCAGACUCCUACGGGAGGCAGCAGUGGGGAAUCUUGCACAAUGGGCGAAAGCCUGAUGCAGCAACGCCGCGUGGGGGAUGAAGCUUCUCGGAGUGUAAACCCCUUUCGACCCGGAAGAAGCCGCAAGGGUUUGACGGUACGGGUAUAAGAAGCCCCGGCUAACUACGUGCCAGCAGCCGC